AUUGAACGCUGGCGGCAGGCCUAACACAUGCCAGUCGAACGGUAACAGGGAACAGCUUGCUGUUUCGCUGACGAGUGGCGGACGGGUGAGUAAUGUCUGGGAAACUGCCUGAUGGAGGGGGAUAACUACUGGAAACGGUAGCUAAUACCGCAUAACGUCGCAAGACCAAAGAGGGGGACCCUCGGGCCUCUUGCCAUCGGAUGUGCCCAGAUGGGAUUAGCUUGUUGGUGGGGUCACGGCUCACCAAGGCGACGAUCCCUAGCUGGUCUGAGAGGAUGACCAGCCACACUGGAACUGAGACACGGUCCAGACUCCUACGGGAGGCAGCAGUGGGGAAUAUUGCACAAUGGGCGCAAGCCUGAUGAAGCCAUGCCGCGUGUAUGAAGAAGGCCUUCGGGUUGUAAAGUACUUUCAGCGGGGAGGAAGGGAGUAAAGUUAAUACCUUUGCUCAUUGACGUUACCCGCAGAAGAAGCACCGGCUAACUCCGUG
This 490-nucleotide ribosomal RNA is filed under the name uncultured bacterium. Its description in RNAcentral is "partial 16S ribosomal RNA". It matches the Rfam family "Bacterial small subunit ribosomal RNA", at positions 30 to 507 of the family's 1533-position model. The record is from RNAcentral.